RNAcentral lists this long non-coding RNA (2572 nucleotides) under Diabrotica virgifera virgifera (western corn rootworm). RNAcentral describes it as "uncharacterized LOC126878822". The record is from RNAcentral. Lineage: Eukaryota; Metazoa; Arthropoda; Insecta; Coleoptera; Chrysomelidae.
UAUAUAUAUAUAUAUAUAUAUAUAUAUAUAUAUAUAUAUAUAUAUAUAUAUAUAUCUUAUAUAUAAAAAUCUAUUGCUGUGCGUUAGUCUCGCUAAAACUCGAGAAUGUGUGGACCGAUUUGGCUAAUUUUGAUGUUGAAUUAUUUGUGGAAGUUCAGGGAAGGUUUAUACGGUUUUAUAUUGUCAUUUUAGUAGCCACCAAAAUUUUUACAGCUAUAUGUAUAAAAUGCUCUUUUUACAGUGUUUGUUGCCAUACUCCUCCGAAACGACUUGACCGAUUUUUAUGAAAGUUUGCAAGUGUAUUCGACCGGACCGGUAGUAGGUUGUUAUCUAUAUUUCAUACCCGUGCGUCUUAAGGGGGCUUGCCACCCUUAUAUUUAUUUCUAUUUUUUCAGAGAAACUCUUUUUUUUUAAUUUCAUAUGAUGUGGAACGUAAAGAUACAUACAACCCUAAAUUUUCACUUUUCCAGCACUAACCGUUAUUUUUUAAUGGCCAUUUAAAUAUUUUACAUCUAUAUAAACAAAAGAAAGUCGUGACAGUUACCAACACAUAACUCGAGAACGACUGAAUAGAUUUUUAUGAAAUUUUCCACGUAUAUUUGACCGGACCGAGAAUAGGUUGUUAUGUAUUUUUCAUAUCCGUACGUCGUAACGGGGGCUGCCCCCCUAAAAUAUUUUUUUAUUUUUUUUUUGGUCAAACUGUUUUUUCUUAAUUUUAUGUGAUGUGGAAGGCAAAGGUAAAUACAACCCUAAAUUUUCACUUUUCUAUCUUCGACCGUUAUUUUUUAAUAGCCAUCUAAAAUUUUGCAUCUUAUAUAUAAAAAUCUAUUGCUGUGCGUUAGUCUCGCUAAAACUCGAGACUGUAUGGACCGAUUUGGCUAAUUUUGAUGUUGAAUUAUUUGUGGAAGUUCAGGGAAGGUUUAUACGGUUUUAUAUUGUCAUUUUAGUAGCCACCAAAAUUUUUACAGCUAUAUGUAUAAAAAGCUCUUUUUACAGUGUUUGUUGCCAUACUCCUCCGAAACGACUUGACCGAUUUUUAUGAAAGUUUGCAAGUGUAUUCGACCGGACCGGUAGUAGGUUGUUAUCUAUAUUUCAUACCCGUGCGUCUUAAGGGGGCUUGCCACCCUUAUAUUUAUUUCUAUUUUUUCAGAGAAACUCUUUUUUUUUAAUUUCAUAUGAUGUGGAACGUAAAGAUACAUACAACCCUAAAUUUUCACUUUUCCAGCACUAACCGUUAUUUUUUAAUGGCCAUUUAAAUAUUUUACAUCUAUAUAAACAAAAGAAAGUCGUGACAGUUACCAACACAUAACUCGAGAACGACUGAAUAGAUUUUUAUGAAAUUUUCCACGUAUAUUUGACCGGACCGAGAAUAGGUUGUUAUGUAUUUUUCAUAUCCGUACGUCGUAACGGGGGCUGCCCCCCUAAAAUAUUUUUGUUAUUUUUUUGGUCAAACUGUUUUGUCUUAAUUUUAUGUGAUGUGGAAGGCAAAGGUAAAUACAACCCUAAAUUUUCACUUUUCUAUCUUCGACCGUUAUUUUUUAAUAGCCAUCUAAAAUUUUGCAUCUUCUUCUUAUAUAUAAAAAUCUAUUGCUGUGCGUUAGUCUCGCUAAAACUCGAGAAUGUGUGGACCGAUUUGGCUAAUUUUGAUGUUGAAUUAUUUGUGGAAGUUCAGGGAAGAUUUAUACGGUUUUAUAUUGUCAUUUUAGUAGCCACCAAAAUUUUUACAGCUAUAUGUAUAAAAUGCUCUUUUUACAGUGUUUGUUGCCAUACUCUUCCGAAACGACUUGACCGAUUUUUAUGAAAGUUUGCAAGUGUAUUCGACCGGACCCGUAGUAGGUUGUUAUCUAUAUUUCAUACCCGUGCGUCUUAAGGGGGCUUGCCACCCUUAUAUUUAUUUCUAUUUUUUCAGAGAAACUCUUUUUUUUUAAUUUCAUAUGAUGUGGAACGUAAAGAUGCAGACAACCCUAAAUUUUCACUUUUCCAGCACUAACCGUUAUUUUUUAAUGGCCAGUUAAAUAUUUUACAUCUAUAUAAACAAAAGAAAGUCGUGACAGUUACCAACACAUAACUCGAGAACGACUGAAUAGAUUUUUAUGAAAUUUUCCACGUAUAUUUGACCGGACCGAGAAUAGGUUGUUAUGUAUUUUUCAUAUCCGUACGUCGUAACGGGGGCUGCCCCCCUAAAAUAUUUUUUUAUUUUUUUGGUCAAACUGUUUUUUCUUAAUUUUAUGUGAUGUGGAAGGCAAAGAUAAAUACAACCCUAAAUUUUCACUUUUCUAUCUUCGACCGUUAUUUUUUAAUAGCCAUCUAAAGUUUUGCAUCUUAUAUAUAAAAAUCUAUUGCUGUGCGUUAGUCUCGCUAAAACUCGAGAAUGGCUGGACCGAUUUGGUUAAUUUUGAUGUUGAAUUUUUUGUGGAAGUUCAGGGAAGGUUUAUACGGUUUUAUAUUGUCAUUUUAGUAGCCACCAAAAUUUUUACAGCUAUAUGUAUAAAAUGCUCUUUUUACAGUGUUUGUUGCCAUACUCCUCCGAAACGACUUUACCGAUUUUUAUGACUUUUUUCAAGUAUACUCG